AUUGAACGCUGGCGGCAGGCCUAACACAUGCAAGUCGAGCGGUAGCACAGAGAGCUUGCUCUCGGGUGACGAGCGGCGGACGGGUGAGUAAUGUCUGGGAAACUGCCUGAUGGAGGGGGAUAACUACUGGAAACGGUAGCUAAUACCGCAUAACGUCGCAAGACCAAAGAGGGGGACCUUCGGGCCUCUUGCCAUCAGAUGUGCCCAGAUGGGAUUAGCUAGUAGGUGGGGUAACGGCUCACCUAGGCGACGAUCCCUAGCUGGUCUGAGAGGAUGACCAGCCACACUGGAACUGAGACACGGUCCAGACUCCUACGGGAGGCAGCAGUGGGGAAUAUUGCACAAUGGGCGCAAGCCUGAUGCAGCCAUGCCGCGUGUAUGAAGAAGGCCUUCGGGUUGUAAGUACUUUCAGCGGGGAGGAAGGCGUUGUGGUUAAUAACCACAGCGAUUGACGUUACCCGCAGAAGAAGCACCGGCUAACUCCGUGCCAGCAGCCGCGGUAAUACGGAGGGUGCAAGCGUUAAUCGGAAUUACUGGGCGUAAAGCGCACGCAGGCGGUCUGUCAAGUCGGAUGUGAAAUCCCCGGGGCUCAACCUGGGAACUGCAUUCGAAACUGGCAGGCUAGAGUCUUGUAGAGGGGGGUAGAAUUCCAGGUGUAGCGGUGAAAUGCGUAGAGAUCUGGAGGAAUACCGGUGGGCGAAAGGCGGCCCCCUGGACAAAGACUGACGCUCAGGUGCGAAAGCGUGGGGAGCAAACAGGAUUAGAUACCCUGGUAGUCCACGCCGUAAACGAUGUCGACUUGGAGGUUGUGCCCUUGAGGCGUGGCUUCCGGAGCUAACGCGUUAAGUCGACCGCCUGGGGAGUACGGCCGCAAGGUUAAAACUCAAAUGAAUUGACGGGGGCCCGCACAAGCGGUGGAGCAUGUGGUUUAAUUCGAUGCAACGCGAAGAACCUUACCUACUCUUGACAUCCAGAGAACUUUCCAGAGAUGGAUUGGUGCCUUCGGGAACUCUGAGACAGGUGCUGCAUGGCUGUCGUCAGCUCGUGUUGUGAAAUGUUGGGUUAAGUCCCGCAACGAGCGCAACCCUUAUCCUUUGUUGCCAGCGGUCCGGCCGGGAACUCAAAGGAGACUGCCAGUGAUAAACUGGAGGAAGGUGGGGAUGACGUCAAGUCAUCAUGGCCCUUACGAGUAGGGCUACACACGUGCUACAAUGGCGCAUACAAAGAGAAGCGACCUCGCGAGAGCAAGCGGACCUCAUAAAGUGCGUCGUAGUCCGGAUUGGAGUCUGCAACUCGACUCCAUGAAGUCGGAAUCGCUAGUAAUCGUAGAUCAGAAUGCUACGGUGAAUACGUUCCCGGGCCUUGUACACACCGCCCGUCACACCAUGGGAGUGGGUUGCAAAAGAAGUAGGUAGCUUAACCUUCGGGAGGGCGCUUACCACUUUGUGAUUCAUGACUGGGGUG
Molecule: ribosomal RNA, 1464 nt
Filed under: Enterobacter asburiae
Lineage: Bacteria; Pseudomonadati; Pseudomonadota; Gammaproteobacteria; Enterobacterales; Enterobacteriaceae
Description: bacterial SSU rRNA
Rfam family: Bacterial small subunit ribosomal RNA
Source: RNAcentral